CGCAGUCAGCAGGAUUCGAACCUACGCGGACAGAGCCCAAUUGAUUUCUAGUCAAUCUCCUUAACCACUCGGACAUGACUGCUUCU
Non-coding RNA from Caenorhabditis elegans, 86 nucleotides. The record is from Ensembl. NCBI's taxonomy places the organism in Eukaryota, Metazoa, Nematoda, Chromadorea, Rhabditida, Rhabditidae.